RNAcentral lists this ribosomal RNA (465 nucleotides) under Vreelandella stevensii. RNAcentral describes it as "partial 16S ribosomal RNA". It matches the Rfam family "Bacterial small subunit ribosomal RNA", at positions 338 to 795 of the family's 1533-position model. The record is from RNAcentral. Lineage: Bacteria; Pseudomonadati; Pseudomonadota; Gammaproteobacteria; Oceanospirillales; Halomonadaceae.
CCUACGGGCGGCAGCAGUGGGGAAUAUUGGACAAUGGGGGCAACCCUGAUCCAGCCAUGCCGCGUGUGUGAAGAAGGCCCUCGGGUUGUAAAGCACUUUCAGUGAGGAAGAACGCCUGGUGGUUAAUACCCAUCAGGAAAGACAUCACUCACAGAAGAAGCACCGGCUAACUCCGUGCCAGCAGCCGCGGUAAUACGGAGGGUGCGAGCGUUAAUCGGAAUUACUGGGCGUAAAGCGCGCGUAGGUGGCUUGAUAAGCCGGUUGUGAAAGCCCCGGGCUCAACCUGGGAACGGCAUCCGGAACUGUCAAGCUAGAGUGCAGGAGAGGAAGGUAGAAUUCCCGGUGUAGCGGUGAAAUGCGUAGAGAUCGGGAGGAAUACCAGUGGCGAAGGCGGCCUUCCGGACUGACACUGACACUGAGGUGCGAAAGCGUGGGUAGCAAACAGGAUUAGAUACCCCGGUAGUC